GUCCCUGUAGCGCAAUGGAUGUUGGGUGCGUUGAACUUCUAUUCCAAAGGUCGUGGGUUCGAAUCCCACCUGGGAUG
Trichonephila clavata is the source of this 77-nucleotide non-coding RNA. The record is from the annotation of a GenBank genome assembly. Lineage: Eukaryota; Metazoa; Arthropoda; Arachnida; Araneae; Nephilidae.